CCUGGCUCCGUUGAGCGCUAGCUACAGGCUUAACACAUGCAAGUCGAGGGGCAGCAUGGUCUUAGCUUGCUAAGGCCGAUGGCGACCGGCGCACGGGUGAGUAACACGUAUCCAACCUGCCGUCUACUCUUGGACAGCCUUCUGAAAGGAAGAUUAAUACAAGAUGGCAUCAUGAGUCCGCAUGUUCACAUGAUUAAAGGUAUUCCGGUAGACGAUGGGGAUGCGUUCCAUUAGAUAGUAGGCGGGGUAACGGCCCACCUAGUCUUCGAUGGAUAGGGGUUCUGAGAGGAAGGUCCCCCACAUUGGAACUGAGACACGGUCCAAACUCCUACGGGAGGCAGCAGUGAGGAAUAUUGGUCAAUGGGCGAGAGCCUGAACCAGCCAAGUAGCGUGAAGGAUGACUGCCCUAUGGGUUGUAAACUUCUUUUAUAAAGGAAUAAAGUCGGGUAUGCAUACCCGUUUGCAUGUACUUUAUGAAUAAGGAUCGGCUAACUCCGUGCCAGCAGCCGCGGUAAUACGGAGGAUCCGAGCGUUAUCCGGAUUUAUUGGGUUUAAAGGGAGCGUAGAUGGAUGUUUAAGUCAGUUGUGAAAGUUUGCGGCUCAACCGUAAAAUUGCAGUUGAUACUGGAUAUCUUGAGUGCAGUUGAGGCAGGCGGAAUUCGUGGUGUAGCGGUGAAAUGCUUAGAUAUCACGAAGAACUCCGAUUGCGAAGGCAGCCUGCUAAGCUGCAACUGACAUUGAGGCUCGAAAGUGUGGGUAUCAACCAGGAUUAGAUACCCUGGUAGACCACACGGUAAACGAUGAAUACUCGCUGUUUGCGAUAUACAGCAAGCGGCCAAGCGAAAGCGUUAAGUAUUCCACCUGGGGAGUACGCCGGCAACGGUGAAACUCAAAGGAAUUGACGGGGGCCCGCACAAGCGGAGGAACAUGUGGUUUAAUUCGAUGAUACGCGAGGAACCUUACCCGGGCUUAAAUUGCAGAUGAAUUACGGUGAAAGCCGUAAGCCGCAAGGCAUCUGUGAAGGUGCUGCAUGGUUGUCGUCAGCUCGUGCCGUGAGGUGUCGGCUUAAGUGCCAUAACGAGCGCAACCCUUGUUGUCAGUUACUAACAGGUUCCGCUGAGGACUCUGACAAGACUGCCAUCGUAAGAUGUGAGGAAGGUGGGGAUGACGUCAAAUCAGCACGGCCCUUACGUCCGGGGCUACACACGUGUUACAAUGGGGGGUACAGAGGGCCGCUACCACGCGAGUGGAUGCCAAUCCCCAAAACCUCUCUCAGUUCGGACUGGAGUCUGCAACCCGACUCCACGAAGCUGGAUUCGCUAGUAAUCGCGCAUCAGCCACGGCGCGGUGAAUACGUUCCCGGGCCUUGUACACACCGCCC
RNAcentral lists this ribosomal RNA (1381 nucleotides) under uncultured bacterium. Its description in RNAcentral is "bacterial SSU rRNA". It matches the Rfam family "Bacterial small subunit ribosomal RNA", at positions 18 to 1395 of the family's 1533-position model. The record is from RNAcentral.